CAGUAGCCACGGGAAUACGUAGGUGGCAAGCGUUAUCGGAAUGAUUGGGCGUAAAGCGUCUGUAGGUGGCUUUUCAAGUCCGCCGUCAAAUCCCAGGGCUCAACCCUGGACAGGCGAUGGAAACUACCAAGCUGGAUUACGGUAGGGGCAGAGGGAAUGUCCGGUGGAGCGGUGAAAUGCGUUGAGAUCGGAAAGAACACCAACGACAAAAGCAUUCUGUUGGGCCGAAACUGACACUGAGAGACGAAAGCUAGGGGAGCAAAUGGGAUUAGAGACCCCCGUAGUCCCUGUCUCUUAUACC
Molecule: ribosomal RNA, 301 nt
Filed under: uncultured bacterium
Lineage: Bacteria
Description: partial 16S ribosomal RNA
Rfam family: Bacterial small subunit ribosomal RNA
Source: RNAcentral